AUUGAACGCUGGCGGCAGGACUAACACAUGCAAGUCGAGCGGAGCGGCGGACGGGUGAGUAAUGUAUGGGGAACUGCCCGAUAGAGGGGGAUAACUAAUGGAAACGGUAGCUAAUACCGCAUACUAUCGGAUGAACACAUAUGGGAUUAGAUAGGUGGUGGGGUACUGGCUCACCAAGGAGACGAUCCCUAGCUGGUCUGAGAGGAUGAUCAGCCAUACUGGGACUGAGACACGGCCCAGACUCCUACGGGAGGAAGCAGUGGGGAAUAUUGCACAAUGGGCGAAAGCCUGAUCCAGCCAUGCCGCGUGUGUGAAGAAGGUCUUCGGAUUGUAAAGCACUUUAAGUUGGGAGGCGUUACCAACAGAAUAAGCACCGGCUAACUUCGUGCCAGCAGCCGCGGUAAUUC
RNAcentral lists this ribosomal RNA (407 nucleotides) under uncultured bacterium. RNAcentral's name for it is "partial 16S ribosomal RNA". It matches the Rfam family "Bacterial small subunit ribosomal RNA", at positions 30 to 526 of the family's 1533-position model. The record is from RNAcentral.